Long non-coding RNA from Leopardus geoffroyi (Geoffroy's cat), 390 nucleotides. RefSeq lists it as uncharacterized. NCBI's taxonomy places the organism in Eukaryota, Metazoa, Chordata, Mammalia, Carnivora, Felidae. The record is from RefSeq and is a predicted model, not a curated record. The transcript has 3 exons.
GUAUUUUUCGUUUUUAGUGGAGUCUCCCUGGAUUUGGUAUUAGGAUAAUUCUGGCUUCAUAGAAUGAAUUUGGAAGUUUUCCUCCCUUUUCUGUUUUUUGGAAUUGUUUGAGAAGAAUAGGUAUUAACUCUUCUUUAAAUGUUUGGUAGAAUUCUCCUAUGGAGCCAUCUGGCCUUGUACUUUGGUUUGUUGGGAAUUUUUUGAUUACUGAUUCAAUGUCUUUGCUGAUUAUCAGCCUGUUAAAGUUUAUAUUUCUUCCUGUUUCAGUUUUAGUAGUUUAUAUGCUUCUAGGAAUUUAUCCAUUUCAUCCAGGUUGUCCAAUCUGGUGGCAUAUAGUUUUUCCAGUAUAUUCUCUUAUAAUUGUUUGUAUUUCUCUGGUGUCAUGAUCUC